AGUGGGGAAAAGCUGGCAGUUCAGGCUUUGGAAACUCAGGCAAUUCAGGUUUUGGCAGCGUGGGAAUUUCAGGCUUCGACAACUCAGGCAAUUCAGGUAAUUUUGGCAGAGUGGGAAGUUCAGGUUUAGGAAAGGUUGGGACUUCAGGUAAUGGUGGAAGCUCAACCUUAGGAAGUAAUGGCAAGUCAGGCAAUUCAGGCUUAGGAAGCUCCGGGACCUCAGGUAAUGUUGUCUCUAGAAGCUGUCGUGCUUCUGCAGAGAUUGACAGAGCAACGAGUGAGAGCAGAACAAUGAGUGAAGGGGAGCGAAGAUUGGCCAUAACUAUGCAACAAGAUCAAUCAGCUGUAAAUACAAUUUAUCCUCACUUUUGUUUUGUGUGUGUUGAUGUUCACUUGUGUUGAGCUUUUAUAGAAGUGGGAAGUGAAGAAUGGGGAACUUCCAAAGGUGAUUUAGUGGGAAAAGUUGUGUUAGCUCAACUUCCCACCCAUAAGACUCCCACUGUUGGCAUGACCAACUAUAGACUUCCUUACAAGUGUAACCUUGCUAUCUUUCUAUAUGGAGUCCAGAGAUUGGUUAGAUUGAUAAUAAGCUAAAAUAUGGUUCUCACUUGUAAUCAUUCUCAGAAAUCAGAACACUUGUGAAGUUCAAGCUUUUUCACCUAUUUAAUAAUUCACUUCUUUCCUGUUCUACCUACAAAAGAUGAGAUUCUGAAGAAUGGUUCUUCUUUAGUUACUUUAAAAUAAUGUUCAACGAAGAUAGCCUCAUCUGCAAAGUUGGCCAACCUACACACUAAACUUUGACAUGUCUUUCUUUUUAUUGAAGCUCUGACUGAUCUUCACAUCACAUCCAAUUAUCCACAAGGUACUCUUCUAUUUGAAAUUAAGAAUUUUAUUAAAAAUUAAUUCAAUUGAUUUCUUUUAUAUCAAUCUCUUGGUUGGAAUGAGAUUCAAUUUUUUUGACUUAUAAAAUUUUCAUAUUAAAAAAAUUGAAACCAUGUGUAUUCUUGUAAGAAUUUAUUUAUAUUCUUUUUUUUUUCAAACUGAAUCAUUGCAAACAAAAGGACUAUAUAAGGUAGUAUAUAUGAUUCUCAGUUGUAAUUAUAACAGUUCAAAAUAUGUCUAAUCACAUUAGUUUCGGUAGAUCUUCAACAAACUGAAAAUUACUAAUGUUUACAACGGAAUCUGUCUCAGCAAUAUGUAAUCUCCAUAUGCUUUUUUAGUUUUCAGAAACCUUGUAAUUUUUACAGAAUAAAGGAAUUUUACCAUUACGGGUGUAACAUCUAGUUAAACUCCGAUGUCGGAAUCUCAACGUUCUGACGGAAUCUCCGUCGAGAUCCAGAAUCUCGAAGCUAAAAUUUUUAGAAGGAUAAAAUAGAGUUUUCAUAAAAUGAAUUAAAAAUUUUUCUUGGUGUGUUUUAAAAAAAAAUAAAAAAUUUAGAGGAGUUUUAAAGUUCGGCCGCCGAAGACGGCUCUUCCAGCCACUUAUAAAAGGCCUUCAACCCAAAAAUAUGAGAACUCUUUCUCUAUUUUCGAGCAGAGGUAAGUCCAUGCCCUUUUCCAGACAUUCUUGCUAAAAUUACUUCAAAUCUCUUGGAGAAUACAUGAGUUUUUACUUCAUUUUUUAAGAUUUGAGUUUGGAUUUCAAGCUUUAAACUUUGGAGACCUCCGAAAAUCGAUUUCCCAAUUCUCCAAAUCUUGGUUGUUGUGUUUUCUAUGUUUUUCAAGAGGUAAGUUCAAUCUUUGCUUUUCUUAUGCUUUUUGAAGGUUUUAAACCGAUAUUAUAAGUUGUUAGGACAUGCAUGAUUGAUUAUUCUAAAGUUUUAAAGUUUGAGUUAGUUUUGAUGAUGGAUGAUUUUCUCCUGGGAUUUUGUUGAUGCAUGUUGAGUUUAGAACAGUUUUUGAGGUCUCUUAUGCGUGUUAAGUGUGUAUGGUAGUCUUUAGCCUGUUGCAUGUAAGUUUGGGUUUGUUUAUUGGCUAUGAGCAUAGGGCAAAAUCAGGUUCUGCCUUACUGGAGAUCCUAGGUUCAGCCGCUGAAGCAAGGUUCGGCCACCAAAUCUGUCUGUAGAGGCAGCCAUUUGGCCACCUAACCUGCCGCUGAAAGUCCUCUGUUCAGCCUUUUUCAGCUUGUUUCCUACGUGUGUUCUUGUAUGUUCUUAGGGGUUUUCUUGAGGGUAGUUUAAGUAUUGUAAUAGUUAUGUUUGGUUCCUCAUUUAAAUCCAUCUAUGUAGGAUCGGACUUUGGAGACUGUAGAGGCUUGCAGUGAGAUAACUGCUUCAGUACUAGGCGUGCAUCAGUCAAAGGUGAGUAGAACUGAACUGAUAUAUUAUUUUAAAGAAAUCAAACUUUUUAAGCAUACUCAUACAUCACGAAUGUCAUGUAUAUACGAUUAGGUUGUUUUGCAUUAGAGUUCACGAAUAUAAUACAUUGCAUAAAUUAUUGUUGUUGUGGAUGGACGUUGGAUGACCCACUAGCCCUCGAGUAUGUUAUGAUAUGUUAUGAUGGAUAUGGAAAGACUAGGGUUGCCUAUUCUACGCCUCUGGCACUAUGUAAGGGAAAGACCAGGGCUGCCCAUUCUAUGCCCCUUGCACUAUGGAUAUGUUAUGUUAUAUUUAAGAGGAAAACCUGAGGAGCACUCGUCGUGGGCCGAGCACUAUUGAAAUCUGUAGAGGGUUACUGAUGACAAGUCCAUUUUGAUGUAAAUUGUUUGUGCUGUGAUGCAUUCAUACAAUCAUAUAUUUUAUUGAACUGUUUUUUUAUGUUCUGCUCACUAGACUCUUAUAGUUUAUCCCCUUUCCCCUAAUCCCAGGUUUGCAGGAUCAAAGUUAGCUCGGGAAGUCGGCUGAGUUGCUGGUAUAGCCUAUUGUAAUAGUAUAGCUAUGGAAAUAUAUUCAUUUGUGGAUUAGAAUUGUGCUUUGCCCGGGUUCUUCCUUGUAAUCCUUGUUUCAUGAUCAUUUUAUAUAAAAGUUUUUAAGUAUAAGUUUAUGUUUAAAUCGAGCUUGAGGCAUGUUAUGUCACACCCAUUCUCAAAACUGUGGAGAUGGAUAUGACCCGAAAAACUGACAGAACUUCCCCUGUUGUUAAUACAUAUAACUCAUAUGACCUGCUAUAAUUUCAAAAUAUAAAACAUAUAAGAGAUGAUUGAUAGCUAGACUGGUCAAUACAUAAUAUAUUUACAAUAAACAAAACACGUUCAUCAUUUGAAUUUACAAUCUAUACAUAAUCUGUCAAAAUUACAAAAAGAAAAGACAAGACCUAGGAUUGGUCCGACCUCCUCUAGACUCUGAGUGGACGAUGUGGAAGGAAUAACAAACUAGGAGAUGAGGACUGCUGAGCGGAUCACCAAAAAAAAACUGAAUAUUAAAAGAAAUAAGAGUGAGUACAACAUAUUCAGUGAGUGGAUAAAUAAAUAACAAAGGGGAAAAGAUAAGUUUAGGUAAUUAAUAGUACCAAAUAUUUAGCUAAAAUAAGUCAGCUGAAUAAAUACAAUUUAAUUCCUAGGCCUGGGCCUUAUAUGUUAUGUUGACCAUACCGAAGCAUUUGAUGAGGGCUCUAGUAUAGGUUUUAUGUUUUCAGUUACGAUGCAUGCACAAGUCGAGUCUUGGUUCAUGUAAUAAUUAUAUUUUUGUUGUUUGUAUGAUCAUGCAUGGAAUUAUAUCAUAUGUAAUAGGAUGUAUAGUAUGCUUGCUGUGGGCUCCAGUGACCUUAAGUCGAUUUGAACCCUAGCACCGGUAGUGGUCUGGUUCCCGGGUCGUUACAGAGUGGUAUCAAAGCCCUAGAUUCAUAUGACUGGGCCUAGAGUGUUGGGCUCAUAGAUGUUAUAGAGGGCAAAUACAAUUAGGAAAUAUUAUAUCCACUAGGAUAGAAUGUAGAGUCUUGUCAUGAUAUAUGUGAUAACCUCCAGAUCUUUCCUAGCCCAGGAAUAAGGUCGGGUCCAAAAGAAGGCACAGGUCCAAAGCCCAUCAGAUCAUACGCUCGAGAGGCGGCUCGACUUCACGAGCCUGGGCCGGCAACCCAGGAUGAUCCGGAUCAGAUAUGAGCACAAGCCCCAUAAGGGAGUAGGCCCAAUCACUCACCAGCUCUACCCGCAUGCUCUCUGGAGAGCAUUAAAUGGCCGUUACGCAUGGAGCAGGUGCCUGACACGCCCGUAUGUACGGGCCUGAGUGACAAGGACAGGAAGCACUAUAUAUCGGGGGGUCUCCUCUUGCAAGGGGGAUCUUCUUCUUUUUCUUCUCCUGCCUGGACUCCAUUUUUAUUUUCUCUGCAACUCUUGCCUAGAUAUACUACUCUUAUUCAUGAAACCUGACUUGAACGUCGGAGGGUCUCCGCUGGGGCAUCCCGGUGGACCCUUGACCAUUUUUCCUUAUUUUGCAGGUCCCUUUCUCAGAUAGAACAUGGAGAGACCCAUUUGACAGAUUCGUCUGGGAGCCCAAGAAGGAAUCAGAUCCACAUAAGAGGGGGCGAGGGAGGACCAGAUCUAACAAAUAUGGAGCCCAGGGAGAUUUAAAGUUAUCAAUAUGUAUAAUGAUGUAUAAUGUCAUGACUAUAUACAUGUGCAUUGAUGAUAUGAUAGGUAUGAUGUGGGUUCAUGUGUAUCCACAUGAACCAUAUGAUGCUAAUGCCUAUAUGUUUAAAUGAUUUUUCAGAAGACAGAAUGCAUGGCUUAUGUCGAUCUGUACGAUUGACUAGAGUCCCAUCCGAAAAAUGAGGGUAUAGACGCCCUUCCUCCUGCUGCUCCGUCAAGAGUGCGGUCAAGUAGAAAUAACAAGAAUGAAAAGUCAAGAGACCCUAUAAUGUCUUUUAAUAUAAACAAAAAGAGAACAGAUCCGAGUAGGAUGUUUGCAGAUGCCAGAAAAACAGUAGGAAAUGAUUAGAGGAGAGAUAGAAGUUUGGGUAUGAGUUUUGAAGUAGAGGGUGUGGGAGAGUCUGAAAGAGGAACAGAAGGCGUCAGACCAUAGGAUCCGCCUAUCCACCUCAGUACCAACCCUAUGCACAGGAACUCGGGUAUCCGAUGGAAAGUACAACAGAUUACUCUAGCUACCACCCAUACCCCUCAUUCAUACCCUAUCCUCCUUGCUAUUCAUUAUAUCCACCCUACCCUAUCUUAUGUUUUCGCCUCCUCCCCAUUACUAGAAUUUGGCAAACUCUAACUCAGGAAAUGUUGCACCACCUCCUCCUCCAGCAAAACCAGCUAGAAAAAAGUUUUUAUACCCAGAUAGAAAAAAGUUUUUUCUUCAAACUAUAUCAUUCAUUUUAUUUUAUUUACAAUUUUAAUUAAAUCAGUUUUUGAUAAUUUUUCAAAAAAUUAAAUUUGAAAUAAAACAGAUAUUUUUUUUAAAAAUUUUAGGACAUUAAUAAUUUUUAACUUUGAUUAGCAAUUUAUAAUAUUAAACAUUAUACUUUUUAAUUAACAACAAUUCCAUUUAAUUUUCUAAGUUCAGUAAUUCUCUUUAUGGCCCUGAACUAUUUAAUAAGAUUGAUGAGGGUCAUAGCAAAAACCAAAUAAAUAAACUGGAUCAAUUUUGUAUAUAGAAUAUAAACAUACAACGUACAUCAUACAAAAGCUGAAACAAAAAUAUUAUAGGACUAAAACUCACUUCAAAUUUAAGCAUGCAUAUAUAUAACAUAUGAAUCAGACACUUAAGAACACAUAAAUGAUACUGAUCAAUGCAAAAGCUGAAGUCAUCACAGCGAGAUCAAACGUUGAAACCCUUGUGGUAUAAUUGCUUAAGGAUUGGUAGCUGAUUCAGGUUUGGUGUCUUUGGAAGGGAAUGUGGACUUUGGUAACUCAGGCAAGUGGGGAAAAGUUGGCAGUUCAGGUUUUGGCAACUCAGGCAAGUGGGGAAAAGCUGGCAGUUCAGGCUUUGGAAACUCAGGCAAUUCAGGUUUUGGCAGCGUGGGAAUUUCAGGCUUCGACAACUCAGGCAAUUCAGGUAAUUUUGGCAGAGUGGGAAGUUCAGGUUUAGGAAAGGUUGGGACUUCAGGUAAUGGUGGAAGCUCAACCUUAGGAAGUAAUGGCAAGUCAGGUAAUUCAGGCUUGGGAAGCUCCGGGACCUCAGGUAAUGUUGUCUCUAGAAGCUGCCGUGCUUCUGCAGAGAUUGACAGAGCAACGAGUGAGAGCAGAACAAUGAGUGAAGGGGAGCGAAGAUUGGCCAUAAUUAUGCAACAAGAUCAAUCAGCUGUAAAUAAAAUUUAUCCUCACUUUGUUUUGUGUGUGUUGAUGUUCACUUGUGUUGAGCUUUUAUAGAAGUGGGAAGUGAAGAAUGGGGAACUUACAAAGGUGAUUUAGUGGGAAAAGUUGUGUUAGCUCAACUUCCCACCCAUAAGACUCCCACUGUUGGCAUGACCAACUAUAGACUUCCUUACAAAUGUAACCUUGCUAUCUUUCUAUAUGGAGUCCAGAGAUUGGUUAGAUUGAUAAUAAGCUAAGAUAUGGUUCUCACUUGUAAUCAUUCUCAGAAAUCAGAACACUUGUGAAGUUCAAGAUUUUUCACCUAUUUAAUAAUUCACCUCUUUCUUGUUCUACCUACAAAAGAUGAGAAUCUGAAGAAUGGUUCUUCUUUAGUUACUUUAAAAUAAUGUUCAAUGAAGAUAGCCUCAUCUUCAAAGUUGGCCAACCUACACACUAAACUUUGACAUGUCUUUCUUUUCGUUGAAGCUCUGACUGAUCUUCACAUCCAAUUAUUCAAGUUAAUCUUCUAUUUGAAAUUAAGAAUUUUACUAAAAAUUAAUCCAAUUGAUUUCUUUUAUAUAGAUCUCUUGGUUGGAAUGAUAUUCAAUUUUUUUUUAACUUAUAAAAUUUUUAUAUUAAAAAAAUUAAAACUAUGUGUAAUCUUGUUAGAAUUUAUUUGUAUUAUUUUCUUUCAAACUGAAUCAUUGCAAACACAAGGACUAUAUGAGAGAGUAUAUAUAAAUCUCAGUUGUAAUUAUAACAGUUUAGAAUAUGUCUAAUCACAUUAGUUUUGGUAUAUCUUGAACAAACCGAAAAUUACUAAUGUUUAUAACGGAAUCUGUCUCAACAACAUCUAAUCUCGAUAUGCUUUUCCAAUUAAUCUCGAUAUGCUUUUCCAAUUUUCAGAAGCCUUAUAACUUUUACAGAAUAAAAGAAUUUUACCACGGAGAGUUCAUUUAAUCUUUGAUUUGAUUUGAGUAAAAAUAAAUAAAUUGAAUUAAAUCAAACCAAAUUUUGAAGAGUUCAAACUUAUUUUUUAAAUUUUUUUUAAGUUUGAGUUUCAUUUUGAACUUGAGCCAAGUAUUAAUAAGCUUAAAUUUGGCUCAUUUAGCAAACGAAUUUAGAUAAAUCGAAUUUUUAUCGAGUUUAGUUUUGAAUAAUUUACGAAAAGUUCAAUUUAUUUACAUAUAUAUAUAUAAUAAGAUUUAGUUGAAAACUAAUACGUUUAAAACUAAAUAAUUUUAGUUAAAUAAGUAUAUAUAUAAAUUAGCUUUUAAAAUUAUAAAGGAUGAGUUUUUAAAUUUUAAUGAUUCAAAUAUCUAUAAAUUUUAAAAGUAUAAUUAAACUAUGCAAGUUGAACUUUAAAAAACUUAGAUCUGAUUCAUGAAAAUAUAUACAAAGUAUAAUUUAGUUCUCUUAUAAUAUUACUUUCCGUAUGCUUAUUUGAGACCGUUUAUAAGUUUGUUCGCGAGCUUGCUCAUAAAUUCGAAAAUGAGCUGAAUUCGUGAGUCUUAAAGAGUCUAAUACAAAUGAAUCUGAAAAUUAAGUUCAAUCUUGAUUCAUUUAGAAAUCAAGUUGAGUUUGAUUGAACUUUUUAUCGAAUUGAACUUUCAAUAAUUCACGGACAAUUUAAUCCAUUUACACCACUAAUAGUUAUUUAGGGUCAGAUAUAAUUGCGCUCUAUAAUAGUAGAACUAAAGAGUUGGUUCUAUUAAUUACCACAGAGCCAAUCUAUUAUUGGUCGUUGAUAGAUGCGCAUUGUGGGAGUAACCCUAAUGGAAAAAUUAAUUGAUUGAAAGCUUACUUUGUAGUCAAUAAAUUACCACUAAAAUAUGAGCUUGAUUACAAUAAUAUUUUGACUCAAAUGGCUAAAAUUUUAUCAAUUCGUCUUCUUGUCUCCUUAACAACAUCCACAUCAUUGGCCUCUUUAUUGAAUAGAUAAAAAAAAUUACUUUUUAUACGAAGAACUUAUAAAGAAAGUUCUUAUAAAGCAAUCAUCAGACCAUCAGAGUUUGUUGCUGAGAGGAUCAGGCAUGGUAUGCCAUUUAUGACAAAUACCACACGGGUUAAAAGUAGCCUGUAAGGAUGUUGUUUGGAUAGUUUAGUAAUGGGAUCCAACAGAUUAGGAUGUGUAGGAGUGAAGCCUAAUGUGCCCCUUAUAUGGGUCAUAGGCAAUCCUCCCCCUUGAGCUAGCUUUUGGGGUGAGUUAGGCCUGGCCCAAAUUUAACUUGGUAUCAAAGCCUCCCCAUCCGAUGUUGGGCCUCCCAUAAAUGUGUCACGCACCAGUAAAAUUCUGGGCGUGAGGGGGGUAUGUUGAAUCCCACAUCGGUUGUGGAAAGGGGUAAUGUGCCCCUUAUAUGGGUCAUAUAUAUAUAUAUCAUUAAAUAAAGCAUAAUUCUUGUAUAGAUUGAGUCUAUACGGACAUGUAGUAUAAAUUAUAUGUGAUUUGUUAUAGCUGUCACUACUAUUUUAUAUUACAGUCUGAUGACUGCUGGAUUUCUUCACCCCGACCUAAAGGCCAGGCCCCUGAAAACAGUCCAUAAUCCGAAGGCUUCAAUAUUCCCCUCGAGAGCCAGGUCUAGCCCGCUCAGUCACAGGGCCGGACUCUGCCUAGACUCCUCAAUCAAGCCGGCCCAAACCUCUCGGCCCAAUAAUCAGGCCCUCACCAGGCUCAACUUCAGCCCUACCAUUCAACCCAGCCCAGAAAGAGGAAAAUGACUAACCUGCCCCGCUGAUGGGUCCUUCCGCAUGCGUAUCAGAGGAGAAUUAAUGGUCGUUACGCAUGGAGCAGGCGCCUGACACAUCCGUACAUACAGAGCUGGGCGGCAGAAGACAGCUAGCAUUGUGGCAGAGAGACAGAUAUAUAUAUUACAGUAGAGGCCACGCAAAAGAGGGGGCUCUCUCUUCUUCUUCCUUCUCCUUCCUGGACACCAUUUUUAUUCUUUCUGCAACCCUUGCCUAAAUAUACUACUCUGAGCCAUAAAAUCUGACUUGAGCGUCGGAGGGCCUCCACCGGGGCACCCCCGGUAGGCCCCUGACCAUUCUUUCUUAUUUUACAGGUCCUUUCACCAGGUAAAACAUGGAGAGAUCCAUCAGGGAGCCCAGCAAGAAGGGACCCAGAAGAAAACCAGAUCUAUCAUGGACCAGGAAGAGGAAAAAAUUUAUCACAGUCCAUAUAAAACCGGUGUAGAUAAGUUUUUGCCCUUCAAGGAAAAUUGGUAAAAGAAUAUAAUUAGUAAAUUCUUUCAAUUUUUAGUAUAUGGAAAAUAAUUAUCACCCAUGAUUGAAUUAUUGGACAACAUCAUCAAAGAGAACUCUAGCAAAGUCCUUUCGUAUUUUCAUAUUUUCACUCUGUACCGAAUAAUUUUUGUUUUUUUUUUUUAAAUGAGAAUUGGAGAUUAGGAGAGUAGAACCUAAGCUUGUAAAUGCAGAUUGAAUAGUCUUAUAAUUGAAAUAUCUAAAUAAAAUCAUAAACAAAAUGAAUUUUAACUCAGAUCUUAACAAAUUAAUAUAAUAAUCUCAAUUUGAUCUAGUGUAUCUUUUGAUUUACAGUUUUUUAAGUCAAAUGUCAAUGAUAAAUUUAAAAUUUUAGUAGUUUUUUUCUCGUAACUCUAUUCCUAUUAUUAGAAUCUCUCUUUUACCGAAAAAUUCUUCAUAGUUAUGGAGGAAAAAUUUUUCUUUUUCUUGAAAAACUUAUCAUUUAUUUUAUUUUAUUUAUAAUUUUAAUUAAAUCGGUUGUUCAUAAUUUUUCAAAAAUUUAGAUUUGAAAUAAAAUAUAUUUUUUUUAAUUUUAGGCCAUCAGUAAUUUUUAAGUUCAGUGACUCAUAAUAUUAAAUUUAUAUUUUUUUAAUUCACAACAAUAUUUUAAUUUUUAAGUUCUGUAAAUUCUUGUGGCUCUGUGUGAAUGUGCUUGGAUCAUGAACUAUCAAUAAGAUUCAUCACAAUCAUACCCAAGAUCAAGAUCAAAUAAAUAAGCUGAUCAACUCUGCAAAUAGAAUAUAAACUGUACAUCAUACAAAUAUUUGAAAUAUAAAGAUUACAGGACUAACAUCCACUCCAAAUUUAAUCAUAUAUAUAUGUAAUCAAUGAUACUGAUCAAUGCGAAAGAUGAAGUCAUCACUGUGAGAUCAAACAUCGAAACAUUUAUGGUAUAGUUGUUUAAGGACUGGGAGUUGAUUGAGGAGGUUUUGUGUCCUUGGCAAGGAAUGUGGGCUUUGGUAACUCUGGCAAGUGGGGAAAAGUUGGCAGUUCAGGUUUUGGUAACUCAGGCAAUUCAAGUUUUGGCAAAGUGGGAAUUUCAGGCUUUGGCAACUCAGGCAAUUCAGGUUUUGGCAGUGUGGGAAGUUCAGGCUUAGGGAAGGCUGGGACUUCUGGUAAUGGUGGAAGCUCAACCUUAGGCAGUGAAGGCAAUUCAGGCUUGGGAAGCUCAGAUACCUCAGGCAAUGCUGUUUUUAGAAGGUGUCGUGCAUCUACGGAUUGACAGAGUGAUAAGUGAGAGCAUAAUGAUGAGGGAAGGGGAGCGAUGAUCGGCCAAAAUGCGACAAGAUCAACCACCUGCAAAGUGAAUAGUAAUUAAAAUUUCUGGACAAUUUUGUUUUGCGUGUUGAUGUUCACUUAGUGUUGAGCUUUUAUAGAAGUGGGAAGUGGAGAAUGGAGAACCUUCAAUGGUAAUUUGGUGGGAAAACUUGUGUCCUGUUAGCUCAACUUCCCAUCUAUAAUCCUCCAACAACUGGCAUGACCCAUUAUAGGCUUCCAUACAAAAGUAAUCUUUCCGUCCUUCUACAUGGAUUCAAGAGAUUAGUUGGAGAGAACCACAGCUAAAAGAUUGACAUUAAGCUAAAAUAUGUUGUCAGAAAUCACAACACUUGUCAAGUUCAAGCAUUUUUACAAAUUUAAUAAUUCACCACCACUAAACUUUGACAAAUCUUCCUUUAUUGCAACGCUUAUUGUUAUUGUUGGAAUUUAAUGACUGACCGAUCCAAAUCUCCAUGCGAUGAAAGUGUUGAAUUCCAAUUUAAUAUGAUGGCCUCUUCUAAAAUACUUCUAGACAAUUUAAAUUAAAUUUCAAUUAACUUAUCAUAUUAUAAAGCUUAUUAUUAUCAAUGUCAAGACUACGUUAUGAAAAAUAUCUUUCAUAUUUUUUGUUAUUUGGAAUAAUGAGAAAAAUUAAUCAAUAAAAAUAUUUUCUUGAUUAAAGAAAAAAUUAAAUCAUUUUAAAAAAAUACUGCUUCUUGGCUCUUUCUUUCUCAUCAAUUCUAUUUUCCUGUUGUGCUCUUCCAACAAAUCCAUAGUCACCAACUUGCCCUUUGAAAUUUAAAUUAUUGGACGACAUCAUCAACGAGAAUUCUAGCAAAGUUCUCUAAUAUUUUCUUCAUCAAUGUUGAAUUUUGAGAGGGAAGGGGAAUAAUACAUAUGAAUGCGACUAAAUAGUCUUACAAUUUUAUUGAUUGUAUUGUUAUUUAUACAGUCAAAUAUAAUUAAAAAAUCUAAAUAAAAUUAUAAAUAAUUUAAAUAUUAACUUAAAUAUUAAUAAAUUAAAAUAAUGAUUCAAAUUUAAAUUAUAUGAUUUAGCAUAUUUUUCGGUUUCUAAAUCAAAUAUCCAACGAUCAAUUUAAAAUUUUAGUACUCAUAAGCCCUUGGUAUUAUUAGAAACUCUCUUACUAAAAUUUUUUAAUAAUUAUAAAUAAAAAAGUUUUAUUUUUCUUUCAUAAUAUUAGAAAUAAAACCAUAUCAUUUAUUUUAUUUAAUUUGUAAUCGAAUUAAAUCGGUUGUUCAUGAUUUUUUGAAAAAUUAGAUUUAAAAUAAAAUGGAUAAUUUUUUAAUUUUAGGCCAUCAAUAAUUUUUAAGUUCAGUAAUUCAUAAUACUAAAAUUUUUUAAAAAAAUUCACAACAACAAUUUAAUUUUUAAGUUCAGUAAUAAUUUCUCUUUGUGGCUCUGCAUGAAAGUGCUUGGAUCAUGAACUAUUAAAUAAGAUUGAUCAGUCAUACCCAAAAUCAAAUAAAUAAGCUGGAUCAACUCAGUAUAUAGAAAAUGAACUCACAAGAUACAUCAUUCAAACAACUGAAACAGAAAUAUUAUAGGACUACCACUCACUGCAAAUUAAUCAUGUAUAUGUAAAAGAAGAUAUAAAUGAUACUGAUCAAUGCGAAAGAUGAAGUCAUCACUGUGAGAUCAAAUAUAGAAACACUUAUGGUGUAGUUGUUUAAGGACUGGUGGUUGAUUGAGGAGGUUUUGUGUCCUUAGAAGGCAAUGUGGGCUUUGGCAACUCAGGCAAGUGGGGAAAAGCUGGCAAUUCAGGCUUUGGCAACUCAGGCAAUUCAGGUUUUGGCAGUAUGGGAAGUUCAGGUUUAGGAAAGGUGGAGACUUCAGGUAAUGGUGGAAGCUCAACUUUAGGCAAUGAUGGCAACUCAGGCUUGGGAAGCUCAGGUACCUCAGGCAAUUCUGUCUCCAGAAGGUGUCGUGCAUCUACAGAGAUUGAUAGAGUGAUGAGUGAGAGCAUAAUGAUGAGGGAAGAGCGAAGAUCGGCCAUAAUGCUAU
This 12706-nucleotide long non-coding RNA is filed under the name Manihot esculenta (cassava). Its description in RNAcentral is "long non-coding RNA (MESC_LNC003822)". Lineage: Eukaryota; Viridiplantae; Streptophyta; Magnoliopsida; Malpighiales; Euphorbiaceae. The record is from RNAcentral.